ACCACCCUGGUAAUGUUGAGGUUCUAACUCUGUCCCGUGAUCCGGGACGAGGACCGUGUCUGGUGGGUAGUUUGACUGGGGCGGUCUCCUCCUAAAGAGUAACGGAGGAGUACGAAGGUGCGCUCAGCGUGGUCGGAAAUCACGCGUAGAGUAUAAAGGCAAAAGCGCGCUUAACUGCGAGACCCACAAGUCGAGCAGGUACGAAAGUAGGUCUUAGUGAUCCGGUGGUUCUGUAUGGAAGGGCCAUCGCUCAACGGAUAAAAGGUACUCUGGGGAUAACAGGCUGAUACCGCCCAAGAGUUCAUAUCGACGGCGGUGUUUGGCACCUCGAUGUCGGCUCAUCUCAUCCUGGGGCUGAAGCAGGUCCCAAGGGUAUGGCUGUUCGCCAUUUAAAGAGGUACGCGAGCUGGGUUUAGAACGUCGUGAGACAGUUCGGUCCCUAUCUACCGUGGGCGCUGGAAAUUUGAGAGGAUCUGCUCCUAGUACGAGAGGACCAGAGUGGACGAACCUCUGGUGUACCGGUUGUGACGCCAGUCGCAUCGCCGGGUAGCUAUGUUCGGAAGGGAUAACCGCUGAAAGCAUCUAAGCGGGAAGCCUACCUCAAGAUAAGAUUUCCCUAGGACUUUAUGUCCUCUAAAGAGCCGUUCGAGACUAGGACGUUGAUAGGUUGGAUGUGGAAGCAUAGUGAUAUGUGAAGCUGACCAAUACUAAUUGCUCGUGAGGCUUGACUAU
Molecule: ribosomal RNA, 732 nt
Filed under: Acinetobacter baumannii
Lineage: Bacteria; Pseudomonadati; Pseudomonadota; Gammaproteobacteria; Moraxellales; Moraxellaceae
Description: partial 23S ribosomal RNA
Rfam family: Bacterial large subunit ribosomal RNA
Source: RNAcentral